UACAGAGGCCUCGAGCGUUGCGCGGAAUCACUGGGCUUAAAGGGCGCGUAGGCCGAUGGGCAAGUGGUUUGUGAAAUCCCAGAGCUCAACUCUGGAACCGCUUGGCAGACUGCAUGGCUUGAGGCCGGUAGGGGGUGCUGGAACGGUUGGUGGAGCGGUGAAAUGCGUAGAUAUCAACCGGAACGCCAAAGGUGAAGACAAGCAACUGGGCCGAUUCUGGCGCUGAGGCACGAAAGCGUGGGGAGCAAACGGG
This 253-nucleotide unclassified non-coding RNA is filed under the name uncultured Phycisphaeraceae bacterium. RNAcentral's name for it is "contains 16S-23S intergenic spacer region". It matches the Rfam family "Bacterial small subunit ribosomal RNA", at positions 524 to 776 of the family's 1533-position model. The record is from RNAcentral. Lineage: Bacteria; Pseudomonadati; Planctomycetota; Phycisphaerae; Phycisphaerales; Phycisphaeraceae.